CACAGAAAAGAAUUUAACUCAUGUGAAGGAUAACUGAUACCGUCACCGCUUGGCUAUGAAGCAGUUCUCUGCAUUUCUUCAAUAGACUUGUGCUAUCCCCAAGAUUUUUGUGAUGCUGGUUAGCUGUGUAUUCUAACUGGCUUGGUGACUCACACGUCCUGUGUACUGAUGAAACUACUGACUCAGCUGGUCUGAAGGACCCCAGGAGGAGCUGACUCAUCAAAUAAUGCAUUUUUCAC
This is a long non-coding RNA of Pan troglodytes (chimpanzee), 239 nucleotides long. RefSeq lists it as uncharacterized. The record is from RefSeq and is a predicted model, not a curated record. The transcript is spliced from 3 exons. Lineage: Eukaryota; Metazoa; Chordata; Mammalia; Primates; Hominidae.